UACGUAGGGGGCGAGCGUUGUCCGGAGUUACUGGGCGUAAAGGGCACGCAGGCGGUGCGGCGCGUUUCGCGUGACAGCGGAGGGCUUAACUCUCCGAGGAUGCGAAAGACGGCGGCACUUGAGGGCCAGAGAGGGACACGGAAUUCCGGGUGGAGUGGUGAAAUGCGUAGAGAUCCGGAGGAACACCGAAGGCGAAGGCAGUGUCCUGGCUGGUGACUGACGCUGAGGUGCGAAAGCAUGGGGAGCGAACAGG
RNAcentral lists this ribosomal RNA (253 nucleotides) under uncultured bacterium. RNAcentral describes it as "partial 16S ribosomal RNA". It matches the Rfam family "Bacterial small subunit ribosomal RNA", at positions 524 to 776 of the family's 1533-position model. The record is from RNAcentral.